UGAGGGAAUAUUUGGGGUCAAUGGACGAGAGUCUGAACCAGCCAAGUCGCGUGAAGGAAGACGGAUCUAUGGUUUGUAAACUUCUUUAGUGCGGGAACAAAGCGGCGUCGUGACGCCGGAUGAGUGUACCGCAAGAAUAAGCAUCGGCUAACUCCGUGCCAGCAGCCGCGGUAAUACGGAGGAUGCGAGCGUUAUCCGGAUUUAUUGGGUUUAAAGGGAGCGCAGGCUGCGAGGCAAGUCAGCGGUCAAAUGUCGGGGCUCAACCCCGGCCUGCCGUUGAAACUGUCCUGCUAGAGUUCGAGUGAGGUAUGCGGAAUGCGUUGUGUAGCGGUGAAAUGCAUAGAUAUGACGCAGAACUCCGAUUGCGAAGGCAGCAUACCAACUCGCGACUGACGCUGAGGCUCGAAGCGUGGGGUA
RNAcentral lists this ribosomal RNA (417 nucleotides) under uncultured Parabacteroides sp. RNAcentral's name for it is "bacterial SSU rRNA". It matches the Rfam family "Bacterial small subunit ribosomal RNA", at positions 354 to 768 of the family's 1533-position model. Lineage: Bacteria; Pseudomonadati; Bacteroidota; Bacteroidia; Bacteroidales; Tannerellaceae. The record is from RNAcentral.